RNAcentral lists this non-coding RNA (113 nucleotides) under Desulfosporosinus acidiphilus. RNAcentral describes it as "TPP sequence". It matches the Rfam family "TPP riboswitch aptamer (THI element)". From Rfam's summary of the family: Vitamin B(1) in its active form thiamin pyrophosphate (TPP) is an essential coenzyme that is synthesised by coupling of pyrimidine and thiazole moieties in bacteria. The previously detected thiamin-regulatory element, thi box was extended, resulting in a new, highly conserved RNA secondary structure, the THI element, which is widely distributed in eubacteria and also occurs in some archaea. Analysis of operon structures identified a large number of new candidate thiamin-regulated genes, mostly transporters, in various prokaryotic organisms. Lineage: Bacteria; Bacillati; Bacillota; Clostridia; Eubacteriales; Desulfitobacteriaceae. The record is from RNAcentral.
AUUUGAAAGCGGGGGAGCUGGAGAGGCCGGCUGAGAUUGAGACCCUAAAAAGUCUGAGACCCUAAAACCUGAUCUGGAUAAUGCCAGCGUAGGUAAGCAGUUACUCUUUUUAU